GAUCCUGGCUCAGGACGAACGCUGGCGGCGCGCCUAACACAUGCAAGUCGAACGAGAGAGAAGGAGCUUGCUUCUUCGAUCGAGUGGCGAACGGGUGAGUAACGCGUGAGGAACCUGCCUCAAAGAGGGGGACAACAGUUGGAAACGACCGCUAAUACCGCAUAAGCCCACGGGUCGGCAUCGACCUGAGGGAAAAGGAGUGAUCCGCUUUGAGAUGGCCUCGCGUCCGAUUAGCUAGUUGGUG
RNAcentral lists this ribosomal RNA (244 nucleotides) under uncultured bacterium. Its description in RNAcentral is "partial 16S ribosomal RNA". It matches the Rfam family "Bacterial small subunit ribosomal RNA", at positions 15 to 254 of the family's 1533-position model. The record is from RNAcentral.